UUAUGUAGGGUCAGUAGGUUGUCAUGUGUGCUGCUUUAGUCUAAAACCAUAAGAUGGCGUAAAAAACCCACGAAAUAUUGAUAAAGGAGAAAAUAUAUCUAGGAUAUACGUAUUAUACUUUUAUUAUGGUUAGAUCACAAUUUGUUUCUUUUCUUUCAGUACCCAGAAUACACAACUAAGAACAUAUGCUCGUGUAAAACCGAAAAUCCGCCUAGAGGCCACCUACAAUGCUCCUAGUACUAGCACAAUGACAGCUGAACCUGUGGUUGAACCUGUAGAGAUUAAUUGGCCGCAACCUGAUCCGGAAAUUGAUUCAUUUCAAUUGAUUGUGGAACCUUGUCAAAAUAAAUGUUUAUCUGGAAUAUCUGGGUAUCGCAUUGUGGACUUGAAGCAUGUAAUACAGUGGGCAUUUCUUAUGGAAAGACAUCGAAAUAUGUGUGAAUCUUCACAAAUUGAAUUUGUUAGUGAAAGGCUUGAUGGAUUUAGAAGUGAAUUGAUUUUCAAGUGCAGUAUGUGUGAUAAAGUGUGGAGGCAUUUUACGGAGAGCAGUGAUAAAAUAAAUACUGCAUUUGUGUGGGCAACUGUCAUAGACCUUUGACUGUAAUAGAAGUUUGUCGAGAUAAUGAAUUUAUCAGUAAUAUGAUGCCCAAAUUAUCUGAAUUUUUUAAAAACUGUAUUCUGCCUGAAAUAAUAUUGAGACGUGUUCAAAAAAAUGCGAAAUGUAUAGAUUUGAAUGUUAUUAUUCCAGUGAAAAAUGCUCCUGCAACAUCAAUUGAAAAUUCAAGCAAAGAAUAGAAGGCGAUUUUUAUUUUAGAGCAAAUUUGGAGAUUGAUGCACCAGUGCAGCAGUGGUUUCAAGACAGGAAGUUUCAAGGCAGAGAGUGAAAUCAACAAGUCAAAUGAUUUUUGUUCUAAUUGUAUUUUGGUUGUAGUUUGUUUAGAAUCUACAUAACCACUGUAUAUUUCUUUUUAUUUUGUAUUUACUGUAAAACCAAAAGGUGAAAAAUAUUUCAUUAGGCAUACAUGCUUACAUCAUUAUGUUACUAUGUUUUACAAAGCUUUAGAGUGCGUCGAAAUCGGAAAUAUGUUUUCACCUUCCUGUUUAUUAUCACAUAAUAAAUAGUGUUUUAGAUUUGUUGUUGUAUCUUGUUUAUGAGUGUUGGUUAUGAAAUGUUACUGAAAUAAUUUACUUAUCAUUAGUGUUAUUAGUUUUGAGUGAAUAGGCAUAGAUCGGUAUAUUAUAUGCUUCUUCAAAUACAUGUUUUGAUAAAAAAAAACAAAAUUAUAAUGUAAUAAAAUAAAACUGCGUUUUAUUGUAAUCAA
Colias croceus (clouded yellow) is the source of this 1322-nucleotide long non-coding RNA. RefSeq lists it as uncharacterized. The transcript is spliced from 3 exons. The record is from RefSeq and is a predicted model, not a curated record. Lineage: Eukaryota; Metazoa; Arthropoda; Insecta; Lepidoptera; Pieridae.